RNAcentral lists this long non-coding RNA (4265 nucleotides) under Sus scrofa (pig). RNAcentral describes it as "lncRNA (ENSSSCG00015022237.1)". The record is from RNAcentral. Lineage: Eukaryota; Metazoa; Chordata; Mammalia; Artiodactyla; Suidae.
UUUUUUUUUUUUUCCUGGCAACUCUGGUCAAAUAGCCUCAAGGAUCUGUAUUGGUGGCAGAUCUAUUUACCAUCCUUCUAUUAAGUAAAAGAAAAGCAGUUCUUUACCUACCCAACCUCACGUCUGCCCAUUUCUCUCUUUACCCACUAACUUCCUCCCAAACUAGGUUUACAGUUUGGAGAAAGCCUGCACUUUUUCUUAUCUCUUACACAUACAGUUUCUUUCUGUCGUUGUUAUUCUUGGAUUUUUUUUGGGGGGGAGUGGAUAGUCAGUGGCUGCACCUGCAGCAUAUGAAAGUUUCCAGGCCAAGGGCUGACUCCAAGCUGCAGCUGUGACUAUACCACAGCUGCAGCAAGGCCGGAUCCUUUAACCCACUGCACCAGGCCAGGGAUGAAACCCCAGCCUCUGCACCAACCUGAGCCUCUGUAGUCAGUUUCUUAACCCACUGUGCCAUAGCGGGAACUCCAUACACAUACAGUUUUAUCUGCCCUGGGACUCUCCCUUCCCUGUCAUCCCCAUAAAUUCCAAAAUGACAGAGUAAUAUCUUGUUCCCUGCAAAAGGCUCUUAAUAAAUAUUUACAGAGUGGAGUAAAAUUUAGUUGGUCAAUGGGCUAGCACCUUCAAAAACGUGCUUCAAAUGCUAAUGUUACACCCCGCUAUUUCAAAUUAGGGUUAAUGAAUUACAAAAGACAGCUCUAAAACAACAAAGUCUUCUGGAAAUGGUUACGGACUAUAACUGCAUCUUGGCAGUUUGAAGUGCUCACUCUAAAAACCUGGGAAUCCAGGGAGUUCCCCUUGUGGAUCAGCAGGUUAAGAACCCAACUAGUAUCCACGAGGAUGCAGGUUUGAUCCCUGGCCUCGCUCAGUGGGUUAAGGGUCCAGUGUUGCUGUCACAGACGCUGUGGCACACGUUGCAGAUGCGGCUCAGAUCUGGCAUUGCUGAGGCUGUAGUGCAGGUAGACAGCUGCAACUCCAGUUCAACCUGUAGCCUGCGACCUUCCACAUGCUGCAGGUGCAGCCCUAGAAAAGAAAAAGAAAAAAGAAUCUGGGAAUCCAAAAGACCUGGAUAUAAUGUAGCAGUUGCUUAUAAAAAGGCAUAAGAAAGGAAGGAAGGGGGAAAAAAGAGUAUGUGCCUUGUUUUCUUUUCAUAUAAACAUAAAUAUAUUUAAAUUCUGCAUAAUUUUUUAAACUCUGGACAUAACGGCAUGUGUGCGAGAGGAACACUGAUGUUUUCACAAGUCUUUACCUUCUGGUUAACAGUGUUCAAAAUGGUGGAGUCAGACUCAUAUUUAAACACAGGGGCCGUAAUUUGGCCUGGUUUCCUAUUGUUAUUUUCUACAUUCAAGACAAUCAAUCAAAAAAUACAAUAAAAAAAUCUGAUGAGAGGGCAAGAAAUAACCUUUCCUGACGACGUCUAGGCCACCUAUGAUUUGUUUCCUGAAAUUGAGGUCCUAAGUGACAGCUCCGUUUUUGACCUUGUAUUCAUUCAAGGUUUUAUGUCUGCACUUGUAAUGAGCUGCCAGCCUUGCUCUUGGUCUGUUCCGGUGUGUGCAUGUCAUUAUCUCUUUCCUGUGUCUUUUCUCCCUUUUCAGUCUAUGAUUUGCUAGGGCUUGUUCUUUUAAACCACUCUGUUGUUACCUGACACAUAUAGCUUUUUUUCUAGGUAUUUUUCCUUCUCCGCAAAGCUACUUGCCACCAGCUGGCGAAGAUGUCACUGGAAAUAUAUGGGCUUGUUUUCUCCUCCAAUAUGGAGAAGAAUAUUUACAGCCCGAUCCACUAAAUACAUUCAGGAAAAAAAAAAAAAAUCUUUACUUAAAAAAGAAAAGUAUGCAUAUACACAUUCUUUUUCUCAUAGUAUAUAUUUACAAAUGGGUCACUUUGCCGUACAGCAGAAAUUGGCACAUUGUAAAUCAACUAUACUUCAAAAAAUAAAAUAAAAAAGAAUAUAUUCUGCAGGAUUUCAGUUAUUUAAAAAAAAAGAGUAUGAAAAUGUUCUGUAAAUUACCAGGAGGUUUUCCAAACUAGCAAAUAUAGAGACCAUUUCUAUAGAGAGUGAAAUUACUCCCCAUUUGUUCACAAAGACAGGCAAUGGAACGUUCCUGUCUUAAUCAUCCACUUUUUAUUUAUAUUACAUAUAUAAAUAAAUUUUAUAAAUUUGUUUAUUAUUAAACUAUUAAUUCAAUUUUAAAUUAAUCUUAAAUUAUUUAUUUAAAUCAAUUUUUAAAUUGUUUAAAUAAAUUUAAAUAUUUAUACUGGAGCAUAGUUGAGUUAGAAAGUUGUUAGUUUCAGGUAUAGAGCAAAGUAACUCAGUUAUACAUAUAUGUCUAUCCGUAUCUUUUGAUUAUUGUCCCAGAGAGGUUGUUACACAGUAUUGAGUAGAUUACCCUGAGCUAUACAGUAGGUCUAAUAGGACUAAUUUUAAAAAUAUAAGUUCAAAACAGGACUGAACGUCCCUUGAUCUGUCUCUGUAAUCGAGAAGUCAUUCAAUUAUCCUGAAUUCUCUCAGGCAAUUAUUAUGAACAGCAAUAGUCCUUGCACUGAAAUAUGCAAUGCACUAUUUUAAUUGGGGCUUUCUGCUUUUUAAAACCUGAACAAAUGGGAGUUGACUGAAAUAUAAUCUUAUUACUUACCACUUAUCACCCAGAUUAGAUUGCAAUAGCUUCCUAAUCAAUUUAGGCAACUUCGGUCUUUUCACUCUACCUGCCUUCUCUAAAUACUUUUAUCAUGUUAUCUCCUGAGUCCAAAACUUCCAGUGGUCCCCCAGUGACUAUCACAUCAGUCCUAUCUGCUCUGUCUUGUUUUCAAGAGCUUCUAAGACUAAGUCUCCUAUUUCACAGCCUUAAUGCCCAACCCACCCCAAAUUGUAGUUAAGUUUGUUACUGUAUCCCAGUUACAUGUUUUCUAAUAUUGCUCACUGCAAUUUCUUGCAAGCUAAGGAGACUCCCCUAACAGCUCCCUUCUCUCUACAUUAUUACUUCUUAAAAACAAAACAAAAACACGCCAAACAGCGCCCCUUCCCCCCACCCCAGCACCAAACACAUAAAUGAAAGAAACGAGGGAAAACCACUCUGCUUCAUCUAUUAGAUGCAAGACGCGAUUCUAGGCCUUUGCAAGCCUGUGAAAUAAUUAGAAUACGUCAAGUGUUUUGCACAGCUCUGGGCAUAAUAAGGACUCAGUACAUGUUUGCUAUUAUUUUGUUUAUAAUCCCAACAAACUUGUAAGGAGAUGCAGAUGAGGGAAGCAGAACUCCAAAGGAGUAUGGGAUUGUCCAGGCUGGCAGGAGCACAGUUCUAGGCUUGCCCUAGCAGUGACAGAAACACAACUCAAAGGGGUUUAAAUAAAAAGGAAUUUUUCAACUUCGGAUAACAAAGAGUUCCGAAUCAUCAGAACUCCAGGACUGGUUGGUUCUGUGGCUCAAUGGCAACACCCAGGACUAGGGACUGUCAUCUCUCCCCUCUGCCUUUUGCAGCAAGAUAGCUGAAUCUUCAGGCUUCUCCCUCCUACAAACCUAAUCAACCCAUAGCCUCUCUAGCCCGAGCUUCAGACAGAGCAACAUUCAAAAGAAUAGGAACGAGACUUCUCAGCCUUGAAAAAAAGCUUUCCCCAGAGACCACCCCACCACCAACCCGUGUGCGGAGAAGGAGAAACACAGGAACAAAAGCAGGGUUCUGUUAGGAAGGAGGCAGAGGAGAAAAGUGAACAGACGAUGGGGAGAAACGUCAGCAGGGCUGGCUGUGGCUACGGCACCUGAAAGUGGCAACUAUUAAGCUACUAUUAGUUGGCUAAUUGGACACAAAAACAUCUAUGGUUAUUAGAAAGGGAGAGAGAAGAGGGCAGAGAAGGAAAGGGAGGGAGGAGGGAGAGAAGGGAGGGAGAGACGGAAGGGAGAACGAGGAGGGGAGGGAGAAAAAAUGAAGGAAACAAGGAAAGCGAUGAGGAAGCCAAAGGCAGGAAGGUCGGCUUGGGUCUUUUUAACUGUUGUGUGUGCCACUCCCUCGGGCUAUGAAAGGAGUUUUUGAAAAUCAGAGCUCUGUGGGAGGCUCUGCGUAUACCAGACAGGCUUUUAGGGAUGAAAGUGAUUUGAAUCCCAGUGGGGAGCUGAUGGUAACCCAUUCAAGAGAGCAGACCAUCGGGAGCUAAUGAGGCUGUCAGGUCUCUGAGUCAAACCAAGGCACGGAGGCAUCAAAAUGAUUCAGCGGGAGGCAUAACUAACAAAACAAUGAUUUCUUCAUAACAAAGCUACAAAGGAGGAGGAUGUGUAACUC